Molecule: ribosomal RNA, 496 nt
Filed under: uncultured bacterium
Lineage: Bacteria
Description: partial 16S ribosomal RNA
Rfam family: Bacterial small subunit ribosomal RNA
Source: RNAcentral
GAUGAACGCUGGCGGCGUGCCUAAUACAUGCAAGUCGAGCGAACGGACGAGAAGCUUGCUUUUCUGAUGUUAGCGGCGGACGGGUGAGUAACACGUGGAUAACCUACCUAUAAGACUGGGAUAACUUCGGGAAACCGGAGCUAAUACCGGAUAAUAUUUUGAACCGCAUGGUUCAUAAGUGAAAGACGGUCUUGCUGUCACUUAUAGAUGGAUCCGCGCUGCAUUAGCUAGUUGGUAAGGUAACGGCUUACCAAGGCAACGAUGCAUAGCCGACCUGAGAGGGUGAUCGGCCACACUGGAACUGAGACACGGUCCAGACUCCUACGGGAGGCAGCAGUAGGGAAUCUUCCGCAAUGGGCGAAAGCCUGACGGAGCACGCCGCGUGAGUGAUGAAGGUCUUCGGAUCGUAAAACUCUGUUAUUAGGGAAGAACAUAUGUGUAAGUAACUGUGCACAUCUUGACGGUACCUAAUCAGAAAGCCACGGCUAACUACGUG